UACAGAGGUCUCAAGCGUUGUUCGGAUUCAUUGGGCGUAAAGGGUGCGUAGGCGGCGCGGUAAGUCGGGUGUGAAAUCUCGGAGCUUAACUCCGAAACUGCAUUCGAUACUGCUGUGCUUGAGGACUGGAGAGGAGACUGGAAUUUACGGUGUAGCAGUGAAAUGCGUAGAGAUCGUAAGGAAGACCAGUGGCGAAGGCGGGUCUCUGGACAGUUCCUGACACUGAGGCACGAAGGCCAGGGGAGCAAACGGG
Molecule: ribosomal RNA, 253 nt
Filed under: uncultured bacterium
Lineage: Bacteria
Description: partial 16S ribosomal RNA
Rfam family: Bacterial small subunit ribosomal RNA
Source: RNAcentral